GACGAACGCUGGCGGCGUGCCUAAUACAUGCAAGUUGAGCGCUGAAGGUUGGUACUUGUACCGACUGGAUGAGCAGCGAACGGGUGAGUAACGCGUGGGGAAUCUGCCUUUGAGCGGGGGACAACAUUUGGAAACGAAUGCUAAUACCGCAUAAAAACUUUAAACACAAGUUUUAAGUUUGAAAGAUGCAAUUGCAUCACUCAAAGAUGAUCCCGCGUUGUAUUAGCUAGUUGGUGAGGUAAAGGCUCACCAAGGCGAAGAUACAUAGCCGACCUGAGAGGGUGGUCGGCCAAAUUGGGACUGAGACACGGCCCAAACUCCUACGGGAGGCAGCAGGAGGGAAUCUUCGGCAAUGGACGAAAGUCUGACCGAGCAACGCCGCGUGGGUGAAGAAGGGUUUCGGAUCGUAAAACUCUGUUGGUAGAGGAGAACGUUGGUGAGAGUGGAAAGCUCAUCAAGUGACGGUAACUACCCAGAAAGGGACGGCUAACUACGUG
This 497-nucleotide ribosomal RNA is filed under the name uncultured bacterium. Its description in RNAcentral is "partial 16S ribosomal RNA". It matches the Rfam family "Bacterial small subunit ribosomal RNA", at positions 28 to 507 of the family's 1533-position model. The record is from RNAcentral.